AGAGAGAGACAUGCGCGCAUAUCAAUAAGCGGAGGAAAAGAAACUAACAUAGGAUUCCCUCUAGUAACGGCGAGUGAAGCGGGAAGAGCUCAAAUUUGAAAUCUUCAAGGUUUUACCUUGACGAAUUGUAGUUUAAAGAAGUGUUUUCUGCUGAAGUUUUGGUAAAAGUUCUUUGGAAUAGGACAUCAUAGAGGGUGAGAAUCCCGUAUUUGACCAUUAGUUUUCAGCUUUGUGAUACACUUUCAAAGAGUCGGAUUGUUUGGGAAUGCAGUCCAAAAUGGGUGGUAAAUUUCAUCUAAAGCUAAAUAUUGGCGAGAGACCGAUAGCGAACAAGUACCGUGAGGGAAAGAUGAAAAGAACUUUGAAAAGAGAGUUAAACAGUACGUGAAAUUGUCAAAAGGGAAGCGUUUGACACCAGUGUUGUUUUCUCGAAAAUCAAUUAAAAAUGGCUCGAUUUUGUAUUGUUGAGACCUUAAAAGCUCACUGUACAUUUUUCGUGUCUUUUUUAAUGCACUUUUCGUUUAACAAGUCAACAUCAGUUUCUUUUGUUGUAAAAGGGUCAUUGGAAGGUGGCUUUCUUUUCGGAGAAAGUGUUUAUAGCCUUUGGCCUCUGCAAUCGGAGAGACUGAGGUCUGCAGCGUAGACUCUUCGGGGUUAGAUACAUUUGUGCUAAGUUAUAGCUUUUUAUAGACAACUUGUUGACUAUAAUUAGUCUUGUAGCUUACUCGCUUAUGCUAUUUUACCUACGCUUAGGAUGUUGAAGUCAUCGUAUCGCGC
RNAcentral lists this ribosomal RNA (777 nucleotides) under uncultured Neocallimastigales. RNAcentral's name for it is "partial large subunit ribosomal RNA". It matches the Rfam family "Eukaryotic large subunit ribosomal RNA", at positions 23 to 645 of the family's 3401-position model. Lineage: Eukaryota; Fungi; Neocallimastigomycota; Neocallimastigomycetes; Neocallimastigales. The record is from RNAcentral.